Molecule: ribosomal RNA, 663 nt
Filed under: uncultured bacterium
Lineage: Bacteria
Description: bacterial SSU rRNA
Rfam family: Bacterial small subunit ribosomal RNA
Source: RNAcentral
GUUCGGAGCAUCUGAGUGGCUAAGCGAAAGUGAUAAGUAUCCCACCUGGGGAGUACGUUCGCAAGAAUGAAACUCAAAGGAAUUGACGGGGGCCCGCACAAGCGGUGGAGCAUGUGGUUUAAUUCGAUGAUACGCGAGGAACCUUACCAAGGCUUAAAUGUAGAUUGACGUAUUUGGAAACAGAUAUUUCUUCGGACAAUUUACAAGGUGCUGCAUGGUUGUCGUCAGCUCGUGCCGUGAGGUGUCAGGUUAAGUCCUAUAACGAGCGCAACCCCUGUUGUUAGUUGCCAGCGAGUCAAGUCGGGAACUCUAACAAGACUGCCAGUGUAAACUGUGAGGAAGGUGGGGAUGACGUCAAAUCAUCACGGCCCUUACGCCUUGGGCUACACACGUGCUACAAUGGCCGGUACAGAGAGCAGCCACUGGGCGACCAGGAGCGAAUCUAUAAAACCGGUCACAGUUCGGAUCGGAGUCUGCAACUCGACUCCGUGAAGUUGGAAUCGCUAGUAAUCGGAUAUCAGCCAUGAUCCGGUGAAUACGUUCCCGGGCCUUGUACACACCGCCCGUCAAGCCAUGGAAGCUGGGGGUGCCUGAAGUCGGUGACCGCAAGGAGCUGCCUAGGGUAAAACUGGUAACUAGGGCUAAGUCGUAACAAGGUAGCCG